AUCAUUGCAAUUGUUGGUCU
RNAcentral lists this non-coding RNA (20 nucleotides) under Arabidopsis thaliana (thale cress). The record is from RNAcentral. Lineage: Eukaryota; Viridiplantae; Streptophyta; Magnoliopsida; Brassicales; Brassicaceae.